Molecule: non-coding RNA, 386 nt
Organism: Pelobates cultripes (western spadefoot toad)
Lineage: Eukaryota; Metazoa; Chordata; Amphibia; Anura; Pelobatidae
Source: the annotation of a GenBank genome assembly
CUGAAGUGUUCCUUUAAGUAUCUGCACAGAUCAGUGCUUCCUCAUUAUCAGGUCACUCUGAAUUUAAGAUCACUGUUUGAGCUACUGGUGAGCACCACUGGUUGGUAGAUUGUUAGGUUCUUUGUGGCUGCACUUACUCUUGCUACUAUAGGCUCUAGACCAGGAGUCUUCACCACACUAAAAUACAGCUUUUGGUAAAGUUAGUUUUCCCUACACAAGCCAUUUUGCCAGCACUUGAUUUUUCCCUUUGUUAGGGCCAGAAGACAAUGAAAAUUGUAAUGUGUUCAUCUAGCAUUUGGCUUUGAGUACUAGAGCGUUACACACCACAGCCUUGUUGGUUAAAUAUUACAAUUGCUUUUUUGCUAGCUUUCCUAAUAAAAACAAAG